CGCGAAUGGCUCAUUACAACAGCUAAAAUCUACUUGAUCUUGACACAAUCCUACUUGGAUAACUGUGGUAAUUCUAGAGCUAAUACAUGCAUUAAAGCUCUGACCUUAGGGGAAGAGUGCAUUUAUUAGAACAAAACCAAGCGGCUUCGGCUGUUUUCGGUUGACUCAUAGUAACUGAACUGAUCGCAUGGUCUUGCACCGGCGACGUGUCUUUCGAGUAUCUGCCGUAUCAACUUUCGAUGGUAGUGUAUCUGACUACCAUGGUGAUCACGCGUAACGGAGAAUAAGGGUUCGACUCCGGAGAGUUCGCCUGAGAAAUCGCGAACACAUCUAAGGAAGGCAGCAGGCGCGAAAAUUACCCACUCUCAGCACGAGGAGGUAGUGACGAAAAAUAACGAGACCGUUCUCUUAUGAGGCCGGUCAUCGGAAUGGGUACAAUUUAAACCCUUUAACGAGUAUCUAUGAGAGGGCAAGUCUGGUGCCAGCAGCCGCGGUAAUUCCAGCU
Molecule: ribosomal RNA, 505 nt
Filed under: Eucephalobus striatus
Lineage: Eukaryota; Metazoa; Nematoda; Chromadorea; Rhabditida; Cephalobidae
Description: SSU rRNA
Rfam family: Eukaryotic small subunit ribosomal RNA
Source: RNAcentral